GUCGAGAUCUUGAGUUAUGGAUCUGCACACAAAAAAUGAGAGAACUUGCUAGAUUGACUCCAGUAAGGGCUUCCUAUUUUCAAGUCAAGUCGAGCUAUGGAGUAAAGAAAAUAACGGAUAAUUAAAGUAGUGUUACCCUAUUUUAGCCAGUUUGCUUCACUUUAGCUUUCAAGAGUUUGACUUUAGGAGGUUGACUUCAGGAGCUCAGCUUUGGGAGGUUGAUUUUGG
RNAcentral lists this long non-coding RNA (228 nucleotides) under Elaeis guineensis (African oil palm). RNAcentral describes it as "long non-coding RNA (EGUI_LNC041285)". The record is from RNAcentral. Lineage: Eukaryota; Viridiplantae; Streptophyta; Magnoliopsida; Arecales; Arecaceae.